UAAAAUGUCAAAAUACAACAUAAAAACACAAACAAAUCCGAUUCAUUCACUUUCUUCGUACACUAUACCUUAUUUUUUGAGCUCUUUCGAUUAAAAAUACAAAACUCAUCAUUUGUCGUCUAAUUUUAUUGGAAAUCGCAUC
Bradysia coprophila is the source of this 142-nucleotide long non-coding RNA. Lineage: Eukaryota; Metazoa; Arthropoda; Insecta; Diptera; Sciaridae. The record is from RefSeq and is a predicted model, not a curated record.